CUGACCUCAAAUCAGGUAGGACUACCCGCUGAACUUAAGCAUAUCAAUAAGCGGAGGAAAAGAAACUAACAAGGAUUCCCCUAGUAACUGCGAGUGAAGCGGGAAAAGCUCAAAUUUAAAAUCUGGUGAUCCUUGUGGUCAUCCGAGUUGUAAUCUAGAGAAGUGUUAUCCGCGCUGGACUGUGUACAAGUCUCCUGGAACGGAGCGUCAUAGAGGGUGAGAAUCCCGUCUUUGACACAGAUUACCAGGGCUUAUGUGAUGCGCUCUCAAAGAGUCGAGUUGUUUGGGAAUGCAGCUCUAAAUGGGUGGUAAAUUCCAUCUAAAGCUAAAUAUUGGCGAGAGACCGAUAGCGAACAAGUACCGUGAGGGAAAGAUGAAAAGAACUUUGGAAAGAGAGUUAAACAGUACGUGAAAUUGUUGAAAGGGAAACGCUUGAAGUCAGUCGCGUUGACUGGGGAUCAACCUUGCUCUUUUGCUUGGUGUAUUUUCUGGUUGACGGGUCAGCAUCAAUUUUGACUAAUGGAUAAAGGUCAGUGGAAUGUAGCAUCUCCGGAUGUGUUAUAGCCAUUGGUCGCAUACAUUAGUUGGGAUUGAGGAACUCAGCACGCCGCAAGGCCGGGUUUUAAACCACGUUACGUGCUUAGGAUGCUGGCAUAAUGGCUUUAAUCGACCCGUCUUGAAACACGGACCAAGGAGUCUAACAUACCCGCGAGUGU
RNAcentral lists this ribosomal RNA (716 nucleotides) under Pseudoomphalina cokeri. RNAcentral describes it as "eukaryotic LSU rRNA". It matches the Rfam family "Eukaryotic large subunit ribosomal RNA", at positions 1 to 693 of the family's 3401-position model. Lineage: Eukaryota; Fungi; Basidiomycota; Agaricomycetes; Agaricales; Tricholomataceae. The record is from RNAcentral.